GCUGCAUUGGUCUAGUGGUUAGGAUCUUCGCCUUCCAAGCGAAGGGGCAGGGUUCGAUUCCCUGAUGCAGCA
Xylariales sp. PMI_506 is the source of this 72-nucleotide non-coding RNA. NCBI's taxonomy places the organism in Eukaryota, Fungi, Ascomycota, Sordariomycetes, Xylariales. The record is from the annotation of a GenBank genome assembly.